Molecule: long non-coding RNA, 559 nt
Filed under: Pan troglodytes (chimpanzee)
Lineage: Eukaryota; Metazoa; Chordata; Mammalia; Primates; Hominidae
Description: long non-coding RNA NONPTRT005953
Source: RNAcentral
UCCCAACACUUUGGGAGGCCAAGGCAGGAGGAUCACCUGAGGUCAGGAGUUUGAGACCAGCCUGGCCAACAUGGUGAAACCCUGGAGUGCAGUGGUGCAGUCUCACUGCAGCCUCCGACUCCGGGUUCAAGCAAUUCUCUCACCUCAGCCUGCCGAAUUGCUGGGAGGAGUUUGAGACCAGCCUGGCCAACAUGGUGAAACCCCAUUUCUACUAAAAAUACAAAAUUUUGCUGGGCGUGAUGGUACAUGCCUAUAAUCCCAGUUACAUAGGAGGCUGAGGCAGGAGAAUCGCUUGAACCUGGGAGGCGGAAGUUGCAGUGAGCCAAGAUUGCACUCCAGCCUGGGCAACAAGAGUGAAAUUCCGUAUUAAAAAUCCCACCAGGCCCCACCUCCAACACUGGGGAUCACAUUUCAACAUGAGACUUGGUAUGAAUAUAGAGCAAUAGGAGCUCUCAUAUGCUGCUGGUGGGAAUGUAAAAUGGCACAACCACCUUGUAGAACACUUUUGCAUUUUUUAUUUUAUUUGAAGACAGGUGCUGUGGUCUGGUUGUUUGUGCCU